RNAcentral lists this ribosomal RNA (495 nucleotides) under uncultured bacterium. RNAcentral describes it as "partial 16S ribosomal RNA". It matches the Rfam family "Bacterial small subunit ribosomal RNA", at positions 28 to 507 of the family's 1533-position model. The record is from RNAcentral.
GAUGAACGCUGGCGGCGUGCUUAACACAUGCAAGUCGAACGAAGCACCUCUCCCGAAGAUUGACACAGCUUGCUGUAGAUUGAUUCAUUUGAGGUGACUGAGUGGCGGACGGGUGAGUAACGCGUGGGUAACCUGCCUCAUAGAGGGGGACAACAGUUGGAAACGACUGCUAAUACCGCAUAGUAAGAAGAAUUCGCAUGUUUUCUUCUUGAAAGAUUUAUCGCUAUGAGAUGGACCCGCGUCUGAUUAGCUAGUUGGUAAGGUAACGGCUUACCAAGGCGACGAUCAGUAGCCGGCUUGAGAGAGUGAACGGCCACAUUGGGACUGAGACACGGCCCAAACUCCUACGGGAGGCAGCAGUGGGGAAUAUUGCACAAUGGGGGAAACCCUGAUGCAGCGACGCCGCGUGAGUGAAGAAGUAUUUCGGUAUGUAAAGCUCUAUCAGUAGGGAAGAUAAUGACGGUACCUGACUAAGAAGCCCCGGCUAACUACGUG